UACGGAGGGUGCAAGCGUUAAUCGGAAUUACUGGGCGUAAAGCGCGCGUAGGCGGUUUGUUAAGUCGGAUGUGAAAGCCCCGGGCUCAACCUGGGAAUUGCAUCCGAGACUGGCAGGCUAGAGUGCAGUAGAGGGGUGUGGAAUUUCCGGUGUAGCGGUGAAAUGCGUAGAUAUCGGAAGGAACAUCAGUGGCGAAGGCGGCACCCUGGACUGACACUGACGCUGAGGUGCGAAAGCGUGGGGAGCAAACAGG
This 253-nucleotide unclassified non-coding RNA is filed under the name uncultured Cellvibrionales bacterium. Its description in RNAcentral is "contains 16S-23S intergenic spacer region". It matches the Rfam family "Bacterial small subunit ribosomal RNA", at positions 524 to 776 of the family's 1533-position model. Lineage: Bacteria; Pseudomonadati; Pseudomonadota; Gammaproteobacteria; Cellvibrionales. The record is from RNAcentral.